This 89-nucleotide transfer RNA is filed under the name Mesohalobacter salilacus. RNAcentral describes it as "Flavobacteriaceae bacterium 14752 tRNA-Leu". It matches the Rfam family "tRNA". From Rfam's summary of the family: Transfer RNA (tRNA) molecules are approximately 80 nucleotides in length. Their secondary structure includes four short double-helical elements and three loops (D, anti-codon, and T loops). Further hydrogen bonds mediate the characteristic L-shaped molecular structure. tRNAs have two regions of fundamental functional importance: the anti-codon, which is responsible for specific mRNA codon recognition, and the 3' end, to which the tRNAs corresponding amino acid is attached (by aminoacyl-tRNA synthetases). tRNAs cope with the degeneracy of the genetic code in two manners: having more than one tRNA (with a specific anti-codon) for a particular amino acid; and 'wobble' base-pairing, i.e. permitting non-standard base-pairing at the 3rd anti-codon position. RNAcentral also lists the same sequence under 1 other name. Lineage: Bacteria; Pseudomonadati; Bacteroidota; Flavobacteriia; Flavobacteriales; Flavobacteriaceae. The record is from RNAcentral.
GCUCGGAUGGUGGAAUUGGUAGACACGUUGGACUUAAAAUCCAAUGACCAUUAACGGUCGUGCGGGUUCAAGUCCCGCUCCGAGUACCA